Molecule: ribosomal RNA, 642 nt
Filed under: Triticum aestivum (bread wheat)
Lineage: Eukaryota; Viridiplantae; Streptophyta; Magnoliopsida; Poales; Poaceae
Description: partial small subunit ribosomal RNA
Source: RNAcentral
GUACCCCAGCAUAAGCUGGUGGUUGCUGACUUCCGCUUUCGGAUUCGUGUCCAGCGGGAUAAGCGUGCCAAGGUCGCUAGAACGAAGUGGUGGAAGCUCAAGGGGGAGGUAGCUCAGGUGUUCAAGGAGAGGAUAUUUAAGGAGGGCCCUUGGGAGGAAGGAGGGGAUGCGGACAAUGUGUGGAUGAAGAUGGCGACUUGCAUUCGUAAGGUGGCCUCGGAGGAGUUUGGAGUGUCCAGGGGAAGGAGAAGCGAAGAUAAGGAUACCUGGUGGUGGAAUGAUGAUGUCCAGAAGGCGCUUAAAGAGAAGAAAGAUUGCUUCAGACGCCUAUACCUGGAUAGGAGUGCAGACAACAUAGAGAAGUACAAGAUGGCGAAGAAGGCCGCAAAGCGAGCUGUUGGUGAAGCAAGGGGUCGGGAAUAUGAGGACCUCUACCAACGGUUAGGCACGAAGGAAGGUGAAAGGGACAUCUAUAAGAUGGCUAAGAUCCGGGAGAGGAAGACGAGGGAUAUUGGCCAAGUCAAAUGCAUCAAGGACGGAGCAGGCCAACUCUUGGUGAAGGACGAAGAGAUUAAGCAUAGAUGGCGGGAGUACUUCGACAAGCUGUUCAAUGGGGAGAAUGAGAGUUCUACCAUUGAACUG